CGAAAAGGGUGUCAGGGGGAUGACAGAAUGCGUGCUCGCACGCAAGGAGUUUCAAACAUUUGACAACCAAGCCGGGCAUGAGUAAGCAGAGCGAAAGCCCGGAUUACGAAUGCCGGCGGAGAUUGCGGGAGCACGCAGUGCGGAGCAAUCUCCUUUCG
RNAcentral lists this non-coding RNA (158 nucleotides) under unclassified sequences. RNAcentral describes it as "Clostridiales-1 RNA". It matches the Rfam family "Clostridiales-1 RNA". RNAcentral also lists the same sequence under 1 other name. The record is from RNAcentral.